AACGCGAAGAACCUUACCCAGGCUUGACAUCCUCUGUAAGCCGUAGAAAUACGGUCCUCAUCGCAAGAUGACAGGGAGACAGGUGCUGCAUGGCUGUCGUCAGCUCGUGCCGUGAGGUGUUGGGUUAAGUCCCGCAACGAGCGCAACCCUCGUCGCGUGUUGGUCCGCAAGGAUCUCUCACACGAGACCGCCGGUGAGAAGCCGGAGGAAGGUGGGGAUGACGUCAAGUCAGUAUGGCCCUUACGGCCAGGGCUGCACACGUACUACAAUGCCCGGUACAAAGGGAAGCGAGACUGCAAAGUGGAGCAAAUCCCCCAAAACCGGGCCCAGUUCAGAUUGUUGUCUGCAACUCGACAGCAUGAAGCUGGAAUCGCUAGUAAUGGCGCAUCAGCUACGGCGCCGUGAAUACGUUCCCGGGCCUUGUACACACCGAGUAUA
Molecule: ribosomal RNA, 438 nt
Filed under: uncultured bacterium
Lineage: Bacteria
Description: bacterial SSU rRNA
Rfam family: Bacterial small subunit ribosomal RNA
Source: RNAcentral